Molecule: ribosomal RNA, 253 nt
Filed under: uncultured bacterium
Lineage: Bacteria
Description: partial 16S ribosomal RNA
Rfam family: Bacterial small subunit ribosomal RNA
Source: RNAcentral
UACGAGGGGGGCAAAUGUUGUUCGGAAUCACUGGGCGUAAAGGGAGCGUAGGCGGGUUAACAAGUCACUUGUGAAAUCUCCGGGCUUAACCCGGAGCGGCCAAGUGAUACUGUCGUGCUAGAGUGCGGAAGGGGCUACUGGAAUUCUCGGUGUAGCGGUGAAAUGCGUAGAUAUCGAGAGGAACACCUGCGGCGAAGGCGGGUAGCUGGGCCGACACUGACGCUGAGGCGCGAAAGCCAGGGGAGCGAACGGG